UGAGGAACAUGACCUUCGGCGGGGGAUAGCCGGCCCAACGGCCGGGUAAUACCGCGUACGACCACUCGGGGACAUCCCUAGGUGGUGAAAGCAGCAAUGCGCCGAUGGAGUGCCUCGCGGCCUAUCAGCUAGUUGGUGAGGUAACGGCUCACCAAGGCGACGACGGGUAGCUGGUCUGAGAGGAUGGCCAGCCACAUUGGGACUGAGACACGGCCAGACCUCCGUACGGGAGCAG
This 235-nucleotide ribosomal RNA is filed under the name uncultured bacterium. Its description in RNAcentral is "partial 16S ribosomal RNA". It matches the Rfam family "Bacterial small subunit ribosomal RNA", at positions 118 to 347 of the family's 1533-position model. The record is from RNAcentral.